Molecule: ribosomal RNA, 37 nt
Filed under: Chilostoma cyclolabris
Lineage: Eukaryota; Metazoa; Mollusca; Gastropoda; Stylommatophora; Helicidae
Description: partial 5.8S ribosomal RNA
Source: RNAcentral
UAACUUUGAGCGGUGGAUCACUCGGCUCGUGCAUCGA